AUACGGAGGGUGCAAGCGUUAUUCGGAAUCACUGGGCGUAAAGGACACGUAGGCGGGUUGGCAAGUCAGAUGUGAAAUCCUACAGCUUAACUGUAGAACUGCAUUUGAAACUGCUAACCUAGAGUAUGGGAGGGGGAGAUGGAAUUAGUGGUGUAGGGGUAAAAUCCGUAGAUAUCACUAGGAAUACCGAAAGCGAAGGCGAUCUCCUGGAACAUAACUGACGCUAAGGCGUGAAAGCGUGGGGAGCAAACAGGAUUAGAAACCCUAGUAGUCC
RNAcentral lists this ribosomal RNA (274 nucleotides) under uncultured bacterium. Its description in RNAcentral is "partial 16S ribosomal RNA". It matches the Rfam family "Bacterial small subunit ribosomal RNA", at positions 523 to 796 of the family's 1533-position model. The record is from RNAcentral.